Molecule: long non-coding RNA, 1238 nt
Filed under: Brachypodium distachyon (stiff brome)
Lineage: Eukaryota; Viridiplantae; Streptophyta; Magnoliopsida; Poales; Poaceae
Description: long non-coding RNA (BDIS_LNC000725)
Source: RNAcentral
GCGGGGACGAAGAACCUGACGCGUGGGUCCCACGCGUCAGUGGCUCGGGCGCACGCGGUGCGGUUGGGCCGGCUCGGUCCGGUUCGGCCCAAAACGGCCGGGCCGGUCCAGUUUUCUUCUUCUUUUUUUCUUUUAGCCUUUUCUUUUUCUCCUUUUCUCAUUUCUUUGAUAUCUUUUGAUUUUGAACUCCAAAUUGGUCCAAAUAAAUUCCAGAAUUUUUUUCAAAUCAUGUUUUAUCAUGAUUCAACUUUUGGGAGUAAUUUCCCCUCAAAAUAAAAUAUAUAAAAAUACAUUUGCCCUAUAAAUGCCUUUAGGGCUAUAUAAUUAUUUAAAUAAAAAUAGUUUUUCAACUCCAAAUAAUUUUCCAAAAAUUAUGGGAUAGCUCAUUUAUGCAAUAAACCCCUUUUAUAAAUAAACCCUAUUGGUUUGAAGAUCCAAAGCUCAAAUGGGUGAAAACCCUAGGGUUUAAAUUGAAAUAACAUCUUUUUUAAAGCCUUUUGAGAUUCAAAUUUGAAUUCAAAUAUGCAAUUGUGACAUGAUGCUCAUGAAUGCAAUGCACAUGUAAGAAUUUGAAAUUUUGGGAUGUUACACUAAGAUGGUUUGCUAAUUUUUGAAUUUUAAAUUCACUUAAAUUUGCUUGUUUUUCACAUUUCUGAUGUCAAACGUGUGCAAUACUCAUCCCAAAAGAUUUAGGCAUCUUUGUGAGUGCACCAAAAGUGGACUCAGAAGUAUGAGAUUUUCUGGACUUGAGAUCCUAUAUUUUCGUACAUUCUUUGAAUUUCUGGGUUUAUUUAUGAAAAAGAGAUAAACCCAUGGAAUUCAACAGAAAUGAUUAGACAACCAAUGAAGAAAAGUUAUGUCUGGACCAUACAAGUCGAGCAAAAUUGGAUUCCAUCCGGUUCAGUCCAAUUUCAAACCUAUUUGUGUAUGAAAAAAGGGAAUUUCAGCACACAAAAAUGGCUGCAUUUGGAAGAAACCCCCAAAAUUCGACCUUAUGCAAAUUAAUUUCUGAUUGCACCAAAAGAAAGUACAUCAAAAGUUAAGAACACUGGUGAAUUGCGAACCUAUUUGAGAAAGUUGACUUCGCGUUGACCAUGAUUUAAAUCCAGUCAAAUCCAUUCAAAGUAAAGAGUUUUUUUUUGAACUUUUCUUGGAGGAGUCAAGUACUAACAAUGUUUGCAUACUUCCAAUAGCUGUUCCACAACUUCAAAUCAUGUAUUUUGUAUCAUUUGGGCCCC